ACGAGCGGCGGACGGGUGAGUAAUGCUUGGGAAUAUGCCUUAUGGUGGGGGACAACAGUUGGAAACGACUGCUAAUACCGCAUGAUGUCUACGGACCAAAGUGGGGGACCUUCGGGCCUCACGCCAUAAGAUUAGCCCAAGUGGGAUUAGCUAGUUGGUGAGGUAAUGGCUCACCAAGGCGACGAUCCCUAGCUGGUUUGAGAGGAUGAUCAGCCACACUGGGACUGAGACACGGCCCAGACUCCUACGGGAGGCAGCAGUGGGGAAUAUUGCACAAUGGGCGCAAGCCUGAUGCAGCCAUGCCGCGUGUGUGAAGAAGGCCUUCGGGUUGUAAAGCACUUUCAGUAAGGAGGAAAGGUUAAGUGUUAAUAGCACUUAGCUGUGACGUUACUUACAGAAGAAGCACCGGCUAACUCCGUGCCAGCAGCCGCGGUAAUACGGAGGGUGCGAGCGUUAAUCGGAAUUACUGGGCGUAAAGCGUACGCAGGCGGUUUGUUAAGCGAGAUGUGAAAGCCCCGGGCUCAACCUGGGAACUGCAUUUCGAACUGGCAAACUAGAGUGUGAUAGAGGGUGGUAGAAUUUCAGGUGUAGCGGUGAAAUGCGUAGAGAUCU
This 612-nucleotide ribosomal RNA is filed under the name Pseudoalteromonas gelatinilytica. Its description in RNAcentral is "bacterial SSU rRNA". It matches the Rfam family "Bacterial small subunit ribosomal RNA", at positions 91 to 699 of the family's 1533-position model. The record is from RNAcentral. Lineage: Bacteria; Pseudomonadati; Pseudomonadota; Gammaproteobacteria; Alteromonadales; Pseudoalteromonadaceae.